Molecule: ribosomal RNA, 404 nt
Filed under: Verrucomicrobiota bacterium
Lineage: Bacteria; Pseudomonadati; Verrucomicrobiota
Description: Verrucomicrobia bacterium partial 16S ribosomal RNA
Rfam family: Bacterial small subunit ribosomal RNA
Source: RNAcentral
UGGGGAAUAUUGCACAAUGGGGGAAACCCUGAUGCAGCGACGCCGCGUGAGCGAAGAAGGUUUUCGAAUCGUAAAGCUCUGUCCUAUGAGAAGAUAAUGACGGUAUCAUAGGAGGAAGCCCCGGCUAAAUACGUGCCAGCAGCCGCGGUAAUACGUAUGGGGCGAGCGUUGUCCGGAAUUAUUGGGCGUAAAGGGGGCGCAGGCUGCUUCUUAAGUCUGAUGUGAAAGCCCACGGCUUAACCGUGGAAGUGCAUUGGAAACUGGGAAGCUUGAGUACAGAAGAGGAAAGUGGAACUCCAUGUGUAGCGGUGGAAUGCGUAGAUAUAUGGAAGAACACCAGUGGCGAAAGCGACUUUCUGGUCUGUCACUGACGCUGAGGCCCGAAAGCGUGGGUAGCAAACAGG